Phyllostomus discolor (pale spear-nosed bat) is the source of this 1072-nucleotide long non-coding RNA. RefSeq lists it as uncharacterized. The record is from RefSeq and is a predicted model, not a curated record. NCBI's taxonomy places the organism in Eukaryota, Metazoa, Chordata, Mammalia, Chiroptera, Phyllostomidae. The transcript has 2 exons.
UUCAUUCCUACUGUGUGAUAGGCGCUGAACUAGGAAAUAAGGACAAAAAAGAUGUGGAAACUAACACAUUGAGUUUAGGGUCUAGUCAAUUUAAAAGUGUUUCCUUUAGACAGAAAAAGACAAAUAUUGUAUAAUUUUACUUAUUAUGUUCAAUCAAAAAGAAACCUAAACUCAUAUAUAAAGAACAUAAAUUGGUGAUUACCAAAGAUGGGGAUUGGGGUGGGCAAAAUGGGUUAAGGUGGUAAAAAAAAAAGUGUUUCCAUCAAUUCCAUGGGUAUGAGUAUGGCCCUGAACUAUCUUGUUCUUGCUGUGAGCAUUAAUAUCAUUUUCAAAAGGACAACUCUUUAUUCCCUUCUAAAUAUAAACACAUUUAACUUAUUGAGCAUUUCAUUAAAAGAGAAAGCCUGUUUUCUUCUAUAUAAAGACUGGGCUUCUGAAACAAUAUUCUAAAUGAGGUAAUCUUUAGAUAUAGCUCUUCAAUACUGACCAAUACAAUAUUCUACUACUCCAUCAAAAAAUCUGUAAAGAAUAAGAUGGUGUUAGAGAUUAGGUUGAACUCAGAAUCAGCACCAAACACACAAAAAAAUCUGAGUUUGUAGAAAUAAUUUUUGGGGACUCAGGGAAAAAGAGAAAUGUCUUCUGGCUCACACAUUUUUAAAAGUGUGCCUUUAAUUGCUAAUAUGCUAUUGAACCUUCUGUAAAGGAAAACUAAAGACUUCCAGUUGCCAACAACAUGGUUUUACUGUCAUGAGUCAGGAGUAGCUUUAACAAACAUCAAAUUCAUUCUACAAAGAAGGACUUCAGACAUACCAUUAAAAAACAAUAAUAACAAACAGUAAGUGUGUUUUAAUGGCUUCUAGCUAACUUCCUAUGUAGGAAGUCACCUAAUUCAUUUUAGAGGACCAUUUUCAACCAUUAUAUCUAUAACCAAAACCACAUAGCUCAAAGUUCAAUGCUGGGCAUAUGAUAAGGACCACUUAAAAUAUGUCUUAAUUUAAAUUAUUGCAGCCAUGUUCUGUGAUGUAAAAUGGAGCACCAGGAUCCCUCCUUUGAGUGACCUUCAGAUAAUUUU